Molecule: transfer RNA, 74 nt
Filed under: Leptospiraceae bacterium
Lineage: Bacteria; Pseudomonadati; Spirochaetota; Leptospiria; Leptospirales; Leptospiraceae
Description: tRNA-Arg
Rfam family: tRNA
About the family: Transfer RNA (tRNA) molecules are approximately 80 nucleotides in length. Their secondary structure includes four short double-helical elements and three loops (D, anti-codon, and T loops). Further hydrogen bonds mediate the characteristic L-shaped molecular structure. tRNAs have two regions of fundamental functional importance: the anti-codon, which is responsible for specific mRNA codon recognition, and the 3' end, to which the tRNAs corresponding amino acid is attached (by aminoacyl-tRNA synthetases). tRNAs cope with the degeneracy of the genetic code in two manners: having more than one tRNA (with a specific anti-codon) for a particular amino acid; and 'wobble' base-pairing, i.e. permitting non-standard base-pairing at the 3rd anti-codon position.
Source: RNAcentral
GCUCCGGUAGCUCAGCUGGAUAGAGUAACGGACUUCGAAUCCGGGGGUCGUAGGUUCGAAUCCUACUCGGAGCG